AUUUUCCCGCCUUUUUUUCCCCCUCACACUUUCCCACGUUUUCUCUCCUCACAAUUUUCCACCUUUUGCUUUUUCCCUCACACUUUCCCGCCUUUUUCUCCCCUCACAAUUUUCCACCUUUUUCCUCUCCUCACAUUUUCCCGCUUUUUCCCCCCCUCACACUUUCCCGCCUUUUUUUUCCCCUCACAAUUUUCUUUUUCCCUCACAUUUUCCCUUUUUUUCCCCUCACAAUUUUCCACCUUUUUCCUCCCCUCACAUUUUCCCGCCUUUUUUUCCCCUCACAAUUUUCCACCUUUUUCCUCUCCUCACAUUUUCCUGCCUUUUUCUCCACUCACACUCAAACAGGGAUUUUUGGGGGAUCGGACAAAGGAUUUUUGGGGUCAGACGGGGAUUUUUGGGAUCAGACAGGGAUUUUUGAGGUUUGGACAGGGAUUUUUGAUGUUCGGACGGGGAUUUUGGGUUUCGGACGGGGAUUUUUGAGGUUUGGACGGGGAUUUUUGAGGUUCGGACGGGGAUUUUGGGUUUUGGACGGGGAUUUUGGGUUUCGGACGGGGAUUUCGGGGAUUUCGGGGUACCGGCAUCCAGGGUUUUGAUGAUCUGCGGGGCGCGGUCGAUGUCCAGCAGCAGAUUCUCGAACCAGCCGUGCUCCCACAGGUACAGGAAGACGCCCAAGCGGUUCCUGAGAGCGGCCUGAGCCUCCUGCUGCCUCUUCCCGGCCUCGUCCGGGUGGUACUUGGAGCGAAACCUGGAGAAUUUUGGGGGAAAAACAAGGAAAAACGAGGGGGCGGACCAACAGUGCUGCUCCGAAAAAUUAGGGGCGCGCCAAAUCUCGAGCUUUUAACUGUUUUUUAUUUUUUUUUAUUUUAUUUUUUUUGGGGGGGGGAGGGUGAGCCCAGUUUGGAGCGUUUGGGAUGCGGGGUGGGGAGAAUCCCAAAUUUGGGUGUGGAGAAUUUUGGGGAGAUGGGAGGAGACCCCCAAAUCUUCUGAAUUUGGGAGGGGGGAGCUCCCAGGUGGAAUUUUUGGGGAGGGAGGGGAAGCCUUGGUCUGACACGAGUGGGGAUGGGGAGGCCAAAAUCCUAAAGCGGGGAGGGGGACACCCGAAAUUGAUGGGGGAACCCCGAAUUUGGUCGAAUUGGGGUGGGGGAAUCCCCAUUUUUUACAGUGACCCCUAAACCGGGGAUUUUUGGUGUGGUCUGGGCUGGUUUUGAGGCUGUUCUGAGAGCGCUUCUGGGGUGUUUCGAGACGUUUUUGGGGAUUUUUUUAGGAGUGUCGUUUUCAUUUUUAGGGGUGUUUUCAGACAAGUAUAGAAAUCGUGGGUGGACCACAGCCACAGAUGGGUUUGUGGGCGUUUUUAGGUACAUUUUGGGGCGCUUCACACCGUUCUGAGCGCGUUUCGGGGUCUUUGAGCGCCUUUUUGGGGUGUCCUGCCCCGUUUUCGGCGCGGUUCGGGGGGGGGGCCGCGUUUUCCCGAGCGUUUUUGGCGGGUUCCGGGACGGUUUUGGGGCGGCUGCGGAGCCGUCCCGGGGCUCCCCGGGUGUCCCGCGGGGAGGGAGGGGGUCCUACCUACCCUCGCCGCCGGCGUCGCCGUCCGCCGGGCCCCGACAACCGCGGCGCUUUUUAAAAGCCCGGCCCCGCCCGGCUCGGCCGCGGCUUUUUGGCGCCAACCCCCCCCAAAAUAAAACAACAAAGGUCCCUGGCUGCGUCCUGCA
This 1709-nucleotide long non-coding RNA is filed under the name Chloebia gouldiae (Gouldian finch). Its description in RNAcentral is "Erythrura gouldiae (Gouldian finch) lncRNA (ENSEGOG00005011174.1)". The record is from RNAcentral. Lineage: Eukaryota; Metazoa; Chordata; Aves; Passeriformes; Passeridae.